RNAcentral lists this ribosomal RNA (300 nucleotides) under uncultured Verrucomicrobiaceae bacterium. RNAcentral's name for it is "bacterial SSU rRNA". It matches the Rfam family "Bacterial small subunit ribosomal RNA", at positions 115 to 423 of the family's 1533-position model. The record is from RNAcentral. Lineage: Bacteria; Pseudomonadati; Verrucomicrobiota; Verrucomicrobiia; Verrucomicrobiales; Verrucomicrobiaceae.
ACGUGAGAACCUACCCUUUAGACAGGAAUAGCCCAUGGAAACGUGGAUUAAUGCCUGAUAGUCUCUACGGAGUAAAUGGUGCCUUCGGGUAUCGCUAGAGGAUGGGCUCGCGGCCUAUCAGCUUGUUGGUGAGGUAAAGGCUCACCAAGGCGACGACGGGUAGCUGGUCUGAGAGGACGAUCAGCAACACUGGAACUGAGACACGGUCCAGACACCUACGGGUGGCAGCAGUCGAGAAUCAUUCACAAUGGAGGCAACUCUGAUGGUGCAACGCCGCGUGGAGGAUGACGGUCCUAGGAU